AUUGAACGCUGGCGGCAUGCCUUACACAUGCAAGUCGAACGGUAACAGGUCUUCGGAUGCUGACGAGUGGCGAACGGGUGAGUAAUACAUCGGAACGUGCCUAGUAGUGGGGGAUAACUACUCGAAAGAGUGGCUAAUACCGCAUGAGAUCUACGGAUGAAAGCAGGGGAUCGCAAGACCUUGUGCUACUAGAGCGGCCGAUGGCAGAUUAGGUAGUUGGUGGGAUAAAAGCUUACCAAGCCGACGAUCUGUAGCUGGCCUGAGAGGACGAUCAGCCACACUGGGACUGAGACACGGCCCAGACUCCUACGGGAGGCAGCAGUGGGGAAUUUUGGACAAUGGGCGAAAGCCUGAUCCAGCAAUGCCGCGUGCAGGAUGAAGGCCUUCGGGUUGUAAACUGCUUUUGUACGGAACGAAAGGCCCUGGGUUAAUACCCUGGGGUCAUGACGGUACCGUAAGAAUAAGCACCGGCUAACUACGUGCCAGCCGCCGCCGUAA
Molecule: ribosomal RNA, 498 nt
Filed under: uncultured bacterium
Lineage: Bacteria
Description: partial 16S ribosomal RNA
Rfam family: Bacterial small subunit ribosomal RNA
Source: RNAcentral